CUUUUUUUUUACCAUACUUGUAGAUAUUGAUUUGAUAUUUGAUAUAUUAUUUAAACUUUGACAAGUUACAGAUCAUUACAGUAGUUUGUUCCAAUACAAUGAAUUUGUAAUCGGUAGGGGACUAUGUAUUGUCAUCCAAUACUCUCAAAAUGCUUGUAAAUUCUGGCUCAUGCUAGUGUUGAGAAAAUAAUAAAAAAAAUAAUGGG
RNAcentral lists this long non-coding RNA (206 nucleotides) under Mytilus galloprovincialis (Mediterranean mussel). Lineage: Eukaryota; Metazoa; Mollusca; Bivalvia; Mytilida; Mytilidae. The record is from RNAcentral.